Molecule: ribosomal RNA, 1994 nt
Filed under: bioreactor metagenome
Description: bacterial LSU rRNA
Rfam family: Bacterial large subunit ribosomal RNA
Source: RNAcentral
GUGGCUAGGGGUGAAAGGCCAAUCAAACUCGGAAAUAGCUGGUUCUCCGCGAAAUCUAUUUAGGUAGAGCGUCGACCGAAUACCCUCGGGGGUAGAGCACUGGAUGGGCUAUGGGGACUCACCGUCUUACUGAUCCUAACCAAACUCCGAAUACCGAGGAGUACUAGUCGGCAGACACACGGCGGGUGCUAACGUCCGUCGUGAAAAGGGCAACAACCCUGACCUCCAGCUAAGGUCCCCAAGUCAUGGCUAAGUGGGAAAGGAUGUGAGGAUCCCAAAACAACCAGGAUGUUGGCUUAGAAGCAGCCAUCAUUUAAAGAAAGCGUAACAGCUCACUGGUCUAAAUAAGGGUCUUUGCGCCGAAAAUGUAACGGGGCUAAAGCCAUGCACCGAAGCUGAGGAUUUGCGAGUAAUCGCAAGUGGUAGCGGAGCGUUCCGUAAGUCUGUGAAGGCGGACCCGUGAGGGCUGCUGGAGAUAUCGGAAGUGCGAAUGUUGACAUGAGUAACGAUAAAGGGAGUGAGAGACUCCCUCGCCGAAAGACCAAGGGUUCCUGCUUAAAGUUAAUCUGAGCAGGGUUAGCCGGCCCCUAAGACGAGGCGGACACGCGUAGUCGAUGGGAACCACGUUAAUAUUCGUGGGCCUGGUGGUAGUGACGGAUCUCGUGUGUUGUUCAACCUUACUGGAUUGGUUGGGCGGCGAAGAGGUUCCAGGAAAUAGCUCCACCGUAUAGACCGUACCCGAAACCGACACAGGUGGUCAGGUAGAGUAUACCAAGGCGCUUGAGAGAACUAUGUUGAAGGAACUCGGCAAAUUGCACGCGUAACUUCGGAAGAAGCGUGACCCUUUUGUACGCAAGUAUGAUGGGGUGGCACAGACCAGGGGGUAGCGACUGUUUAUCAAAAACACAGGGCUCUGCGAAGUAGCAAUACGACGUAUAGGGUCUGACGCCUGCCCGGUGCUGGAAGGUUAAAGGGAGGGGUGCAAGCUCUGAACUGAAGCCCCAGUAAACGGCGGCCGUAACUAUAACGGUCCUAAGGUAGCGAAAUUCCUUGUCGGGUAAGUUCCGACCUGCACGAAUGGCGUAACGACUUCCCCGCUGUCUCCAGCAUAGACUCAGUGAAAUUGAAUUCCCCGUGAAGAUGCGGGGUUCCUGCGGUCAGACGGAAAGACCCCGUGCACCUUUACUAUAGCUUUACACUGGCAUUCGCCAAGGCAUGUGUAGGAUAGGUGGUAGGCUUUGAAGCAGGGACGCCAGUUUCUGUGGAGCCAUCCUUGAAAUACCACCCUUAUCUUCGUGGAUGUCUAACCGCGGUCCGUUAUCCGGAUCCGGGACAGUGUAUGGUGGGUAGUUUGACUGGGGCGGUCGCCUCCGAAAGAGUAACGGAGGCGCGCGAUGGUGGGCUCAGACCGGUCGGAAAUCGGUCGUCGAGUGCAAUGGCAUAAGCCCGCCUGACUGCGAGACUGACAAGUCGAGCAGAGACGAAAGUCGGUCAUAGUGAUCCGGUGGUCCCGUGUGGAAGGGCCAUCGCUCAACGGAUAAAAGGUACGCCGGGGAUAACAGGCUGAUGACCCCCAAGAGUCCAUAUCGACGGGGUUGUUUGGCACCUCGAUGUCGACUCAUCGCAUCCUGGGGCUGGAGCAGGUCCCAAGGGUAUGGCUGUUCGCCAUUUAAAGCGGUACGUGAGUUGGGUUCAGAACGUCGUGAGACAGUUCGGUCCCUAUCUGCCGUGGGUGUAGGAAUAUUGACAGGAUCUGUCCCUAGUACGAGAGGACCGGGAUGGACGUAUCUCUGGUGGAUCUGUUGUCCUGCCAAGGGCAUAGCAGAGUAGCUAUAUACGGAAUGGAUAACCGCUGAAGGCAUCUAAGCGGGAAACCAACCUGAAAACGAGUGUUCCCUAUCAGAGCCGUGGAAGACGACCACGUUGAUAGGACGGGUGUGGAAGCACAGCAAUGUGUGAAGCUUACCGUUACUAAUAGCUCGAUCGACUUCUUC